RNAcentral lists this long non-coding RNA (835 nucleotides) under Brachypodium distachyon (stiff brome). Its description in RNAcentral is "long non-coding RNA (BDIS_LNC005613)". Lineage: Eukaryota; Viridiplantae; Streptophyta; Magnoliopsida; Poales; Poaceae. The record is from RNAcentral.
AGUUUUGGUGCACCAAACACACAGGGGCAGCUGAGAGAGACCAACAAGAAGCCGGGGUCAAAAAAAUUGGCCCGCUUCCAACGAACUCUGCACAUUUUCGUGAUAAACUGUGUUCGAAUCGAAGGAGUUCAGCAUGGGUGUUUGAAGCAAACUAGACGUGCAUGAAGACCAAGGUAAAUUACACGACGAAUAGCUGCCGAUUGAAGGCUGUUCUUUGACAUGGAAACAAUUUAAGACCAGAAAUAAGCACACUGACAAGUUUCUUCUGAAAAGUUCCAUAAAAAAAAAUUCACCCAAAAUGAUGUUUUCUUGAAUAGCCACUCAUGAGACGUGAUUAGAAUGAGACCUUUCUUGCAUGUUUUCUUGAUCCGUACUAUAAUAAAAGAAUGAUCCUAUACCUCUCUGCAACAAAUUAGAGGCAAAAACAAAGAAAAAGAAAACAGAGCGCGCGCCCUUUCAUCUUUACAUCUUCCGAAUGAACCAAAGAAUUGUCAGGAAUUGAUGCUAGCUGUACAUCAUGUUGCACGCCACAUAUCUGCUGAUCAAUUAGCAGCAGUGCGUGGGAGGAUUUGACCCUGAUUUCAAGUCGCCGAGCAUCUCCAUCACCAUCCCGAUCCCGUCCUCCAGCCAGCCGUCUCCCUUCAACGUCCUCGCCGAGACGGCCAUAACGUUCAAGAUCUGCACCAAGAACACGGACAGCAACACCAUCCUGAUCAUCGUCAUCGCGGUCGCCGCCAUCUCGCUUCUUAGGCUUCUAUAUAGCAGUAUUGCAGUGCAGGCAGGAGAGAUGACAGAUUGCCUUGUUUCCGUUUCGAGUUUCCGUUGUUCAGCAGGU